This 1389-nucleotide ribosomal RNA is filed under the name uncultured bacterium. Its description in RNAcentral is "16S ribosomal RNA". It matches the Rfam family "Bacterial small subunit ribosomal RNA", at positions 9 to 1380 of the family's 1533-position model. The record is from RNAcentral.
GAGUUUGAUCAUGGCUCAGGAUGAACGCUAGCUACAGGCUUAACACAUGCAAGUCGAGGGGAAACGACAUUGAAGCUUGCUUCGAUGGUCGUCGACCGGCGCACGGGUGAGUAACGCGUAUCCAACCUGCCUCUGACUAAGGGAUAACCCGGCGAAAGUCGGACUAAUACCUUAUGAGGUUUUCUGCAGACAUCUAACGAAAACGAAAGAUUUAUCGGUCAGUGAUGGGGAUGCGUCUGAUUAGUUUGUUGGCGGGGUAACGGCCCACCAAGGCAACGAUCAGUAGGGGUUCUGAGAGGAAGGUCCCCCACAUUGGAACUGAGACACGGUCCAAACUCCUACGGGAGGCAGCAGUGAGGAAUAUUGGUCAAUGGGCGAGAGCCUGAACCAGCCAAGUAGCGUGCAGGAUGACGGCCCUAUGGGUUGUAAACUGCUUUUAUGUGGGGAUAAAGUGAGCUACGUGUAGUUUAUUGCAGGUACCACAUGAAUAAGGACCGGCUAAUUCCGUGCCAGCAGCCGCGGUAAUACGGAAGGUCCAGGCGUUAUCCGGAUUUAUUGGGUUUAAAGGGAGCGUAGGCCGUGGAUUAAGCGUGUUGUGAAAUGUAGACGCUCAACGUCUGAAUUGCAGCGCGAACUGGUUCACUUGAGUAUGCACAACGUAGGCGGAAUUCGUCGUGUAGCGGUGAAAUGCUUAGAUAUGACGAAGAACUCCGAUUGCGAAGGCAGCUUACGGGAGCACAACUGACGCUGAAGCUCGAAGGUGCGGGUAUCAAACAGGAUUAGAUACCCUGGUAGUCCGCACAGUAAACGAUGGAUGCCCGUUGUUAGUUCACUUAUGAAUUAGCGACCAAGCGAAAGCAUUAAGCAUCCCACCUGGGGAGUACGCCGGCAACGGUGAAACUCAAAGGAAUUGACGGGGGCCCGCACAAGCGGAGGAACAUGUGGUUUAAUUCGAUGAUACGCGAGGAACCUUACCCGGGCUUGAAUUGCAGACGAACGAUUCAGAGAUGAAGAGGCCCUUCGGGGCGUCUGUGAAGGUGCUGCAUGGUUGUCGUCAGCUCGUGCCGUGAGGUGUCGGCUUAAGUGCCAUAACGAGCGCAACCCCUUUUUUCAGUUGCCAUCAGGUGAUGCUGGGCACUCUGGAGAUACUGCCACCGUAAGGUGUGAGGAAGGUGGGGAUGACGUCAAAUCAGCACGGCCCUUACGUCCGGGGCUACACACGUGUUACGAAUGGCCGGUACAGAGCGUUGGUUGUGUGCAAAUACGAAUCUAAUCCUUAAAGCCGGUCCCGGUUCGGACUGGGGUUCUGCGAACCCGACCCCGCGAAAGCUGGAUUUCGCUAGUAAUUCGCGCUUCAGCCAUGGCGCGGUGAAAUACGUUUCCCGGGCC